CGGCCAUGAUCGUCGGCGCGAUGAAGUGGACGUGGCAGUCGAUGCCGCCCGCGGUGAGGAUCCUGCCGUUGCCCGCGAUGACCUCGGUGGAGGGCCCGAUGACCAGGUCGGGGUGCACCCCGUCCAUGGUGUCGGGAUUCCCCGCCUUGCCCAGCGCCACGAUGCGGCCGUCGCGGAUGCCGACGUCGGCCUUGACCACACCCCAGUGAUCGAGGACGACGGCCCCGGUGAUGACGGUGUCGGGGGCGCCCUCGGCGCGGGUGGCCCGGCCCUGACCCAUCGAUUCG
RNAcentral lists this small RNA (287 nucleotides) under Williamsia sterculiae. Its description in RNAcentral is "5' ureB small RNA". It matches the Rfam family "5' ureB small RNA". The record is from Rfam by way of RNAcentral. Lineage: Bacteria; Bacillati; Actinomycetota; Actinomycetes; Mycobacteriales; Nocardiaceae.